CUUUUUUUUUUUUUAAGAGUGCUACCAAUAAAGCUAUCUUUAAAGCAAAGAAUCAUUUUUGGUGUACCCUGUCUAGAACACACACAAGGGGGUCAGUGGGGUGGAUAUAUUUUGCAAUUUUUUACACAUAUGGGGUGGGGCCCAUGGGAGUACUCUGUGAAGAAUUUAUUUUGCACACACAGACUAAUUCCAAAGCAAAAAGGAGAUGCUCAAUCCAUUUAUACAGAAAUGGUAAAGGGGCCCCUUUUUUCGACUUUGACUCACUUUAGUUGUCGAUUGAUUUUCUUCCCGCUGUUUCGAAAGCAGUUGUUUCAGCUGCAACCACUAUAAUUUUUGAUAUUCCUUUUUAUUUCUCAUCAAACAAAUCAUAGUUAUUCUUAACAUGAAAUUGGGAAAUUAUUGUUAUAACUUAUCACUCGAACGGGUAAUUUUUUCCCCUGAACGAAGAUAGAACGACGCUAGUCAUAACUAUCGCUUUCAGGCAUAUAAAAAACACCACUAUACAUGCAAGUUUAAAUUCAAUUCAGGACAAGACUACGAAGAAAUGAAACAAACAUUAAAGGUGUGUUUGAUUACAUUUAUUUUCCAUGGAAAAUAUUAGUUUUCCAUCCAAAUUUUCACUUGAAGUGUUUGAUUGCUAUUUUUUUCCAUGAAAAACAUUUCCCAACUUUUGAAAAUAUGCCUAAUUUUUCUUGUUAUUAAGGAAAAUAUUUUCCUUGAGUAGAGGUGAUUUUUAUUUUCCACAAAAGAUGGAAAAUAUUUUCUUUUCUAGGUGAUAUUUUUCAUUUCAAUUAAACACAUAAGAAAAUGCAGAGUCUUCCAUUUGUAUUCAUAACGAACAAGACGUACAGUUAUCGAAAUAUCUGUAUCACUUUCGAGUGCUGAUAUUCAGGUUAAACAUCAAACUAAUAAGAUCUGUCAAUCAAUUAAAUACUCAUGUAAUUCCUACUCCAAACAAGAAAAUAUCAAAUUACCCAGCCAAAUUAUCAAUUAAAAAUAAGUUUUUUUAUAUAUUUUUCGAAAAUCAAACAUUACAAUUUUUCAAUAUUUUCACCAAAAACACGAAUACCGAUUCUAGAUUCUUUCCUUUGAUGUAUUUGAUUUGGCAGGAAAUCUGAAACUACCCAAUCAAAUUUGUCUCUAAAAAGAAAACAGAUUUAUCACUCAAAUUAAAUGCUCAUUAAUUAUUUUACCAAGAUCCAGCUAUACACCAUCACAAUUGACAAAAUAAUUAUUAAAUCCAGACCUAUCACAGAGCAAAUCAAUUACCGAUCAAUUGGAAUCCAAUAAGAACACAGCGUUUCACAUAUAAACAUUCACCGCGGCCUCCGAUUCAGUUGAUGCAAGGCAGGAACAUGAUUUUCGCCAAAAACAACGACAUCAUUUACAAGCAUAUGGUAGACAUUUGUAUUCACAAAGUUCGGAUCGCUCAUCGACGUGAAAACGACGCCGUAGUAAGCGAACAAUGUUCCCGACCUGCACCAAGCGAAUCUGAGACCACUGCAACAAAAAGAUAUACAAAUUUAUGUAUUAUACGGUACCUAUAGAAUUAGAUCUGAGAAAAAGAAACAGAGAGAAACUGAGAUUUUGUAGGCGUGUGAAUAUGUGAGAGAGGUGAUUUG
This 1622-nucleotide long non-coding RNA is filed under the name Olea europaea subsp. europaea. Lineage: Eukaryota; Viridiplantae; Streptophyta; Magnoliopsida; Lamiales; Oleaceae. The record is from RNAcentral.